GUAACACUAACUGGAGGACCGAACCGACUAAUGUUGAAAAAUUAGCGGAUGACUUGUGGCUGGGGGUGAAAGGCCAAUCAAACCGGGAGAUAGCUGGUUCUCCCCGAAAGCUAUUUAGGUAGCGCCUCGUGAAUUCAUCUCCGGGGGUAGAGCACUGUUUCGGCAAGGGGGUCAUCCCGACUUACCAACCCGAUGCAAACUGCGAAUACCGGAGAAUGUUAUCACGGGAGACACACGGCGGGUGCUAACGUCCGUCGUGAAGAGGGAAACAACCCAGACCGCCAGCUAAGGUCCCAAAGUCAUGGUUAAGUGGGAAACGAUGUGGGAAGGCCCAGACAGCCAGGAUGUUGGCUUAGAAGCAGCCAUCAUUUAAAGAAAGCGUAAUAGCUCACUGGUCGAGUCGGCCUGCGCGGAAGAUGUAACGGGGCUAAACCAUG
RNAcentral lists this ribosomal RNA (437 nucleotides) under Escherichia coli. Its description in RNAcentral is "partial 23S ribosomal RNA". It matches the Rfam family "Bacterial large subunit ribosomal RNA", at positions 756 to 1191 of the family's 2925-position model. The record is from RNAcentral. Lineage: Bacteria; Pseudomonadati; Pseudomonadota; Gammaproteobacteria; Enterobacterales; Enterobacteriaceae.